UACAGAGGUCCCAAGCGUUGUUCGGAUUCACUGGGCGUAAAGGGUGCGUAGGCGGUUGGGUAAGUCUGACGUGAAAUCUUCAAGCUUAACUUGGAAACUGCGUCGGAUACUAUUCGGCUAGAGGAAUGGAGGGGAGACUGGAAUUUACGGUGUAGCAGUGAAAUGCGUAGAUAUCGUAAGGAAGACCAGUGGCGAAGGCGAGUCUCUGGACAGUUACUGACGCUGAGGCACGAAGGCCAGGGGAGCAAACGGG
RNAcentral lists this ribosomal RNA (253 nucleotides) under uncultured bacterium. Its description in RNAcentral is "partial 16S ribosomal RNA". It matches the Rfam family "Bacterial small subunit ribosomal RNA", at positions 524 to 776 of the family's 1533-position model. The record is from RNAcentral.